AGUGAACGCUGGCGGUAGGCCUAACACAUGCAAGUCGAACGGCAGCACCAUAAGAGCUUGCUCUUACGUGGGGCGAGUGGCGGACGGGUGAGGAAUACACCGGAAUCUACUUUUUCUUAGUUGAUAACGAAGGGACACUUACGCUAAUACCGCAUACGACCUACGGGUGAAAGCAUCGGAUCUUCGGACCUUGUGUGAUUGUAUGAGCCGAUGUCGGGUUAGCUAGUUGGCGGGGUAAAGUCCCACCAAGGCGACGAUCCGGAGCUGGUCUGAGAGGAUGAUCAGCCACACUGGAACUGAGACACGGUCCAGACUCCUACGGGAGGGAGCAGUGGGGAAUAUUGGACAAUGGGCGCAAGCCUGAUCCAGCCAUACCGCGUGGGUGAAGAAGGCGUUCGGGUUGUAAAGCCCUUUUGUUGGGAAAGAAAAGAAGCAGGUUAAUACCUCGCUGUUCUGACGGUACCCAAAGAAUAAGCACCGGCUAACUUCGUG
RNAcentral lists this ribosomal RNA (492 nucleotides) under uncultured bacterium. RNAcentral describes it as "partial 16S ribosomal RNA". It matches the Rfam family "Bacterial small subunit ribosomal RNA", at positions 29 to 507 of the family's 1533-position model. The record is from RNAcentral.